AGUUUGACACCUCAUCACCACUCCCUAUCACAAUGAAUGCAUUAGAAUGUGAAAACAAGUUAAUGACUUUCGUAGAUUUAUCCUUCUGCCUGCAUUGAAGUGAAGAACAAUCAUAGAAAACAAAAUCUUUUUUAGUUGUCAAAUGUCUCUUUAGAAGCAAGAGAAUUAAGCCUAUUAAUAGGAAAAUGUUGAGAAAGUUCCCAUCACCACCUAACACUAGCAUGAUAUCAAUGUUUUCGCAAAAAGGAGAGAGAGAGAGAGAG
This 263-nucleotide unclassified non-coding RNA is filed under the name Hevea brasiliensis (rubber tree). Lineage: Eukaryota; Viridiplantae; Streptophyta; Magnoliopsida; Malpighiales; Euphorbiaceae. The record is from RNAcentral.